GAUGAACGCUGGCGGCGUGCUUAACACAUGCAAGUCGAACGGUGAAGGCGGAGCUUGCUCUGCUGGAUCAGUGGCGAACGGGUGAGUAACACGUGAGCAAUCUGCCCCUGACUCUGGGAUAAGCGCUGGAAACGGCGUCUAAUACUGGAUACGAGCUGCGAAGGCAUCUUCAGCAGCUGGAAAGAAUUUCGGUCAGGGAUGAGCUCGCGGCCUAUCAGCUUGUUGGUGAGGUAAUGGCUCACCAAGGCGUCGACGGGUAGCCGGCCUGAGAGGGUGACCGGCCACACUGGGACUGAGACACGGCCCAGACUCCUACGGGAGGCAGCAGUGGGGAAUAUUGCACAAUGGGCGAAAGCCUGAUGCAGCAACGCCGCGUGGGGGACGACGGCCUUCGGGUUGUAAACCUCUUUUAGCAGGGAAGAAGCGAAAGUGACGGUACCUGCAGAAAAAGCGCCGGCUAACUACGUG
This 468-nucleotide ribosomal RNA is filed under the name uncultured bacterium. RNAcentral's name for it is "partial 16S ribosomal RNA". It matches the Rfam family "Bacterial small subunit ribosomal RNA", at positions 28 to 507 of the family's 1533-position model. The record is from RNAcentral.